CCCGGGCUCUCCGGGCAAAGAAAGAUCGGGGUCGCCACCUGGUGUCCACAGCCGCCACUGCAGCCGCCGCCGCCGCCUCUGUCCAGGUGGGGUACACCGGGUCCCGGGGGGGUCGCCCUUGUGUUCGUAGAUGUUUGCAGUUCAGUGAUUAACACGUGCCUUGCAGAUAAAAUAGAAAACUCAGAUAAAGCCAGAAGAAAACCAGUCGCCUGGAAUUCCACACCCUUUCUUAAAGUUUGCUGUGCUUUCCUUCUAGACUCUCUCCUCACACAUCCAGAUACUUUUAAAUUUAAGAAGUGACUCCUCCUCCAGAGCUGAUGGCGGGAUUGAGUUAGCACAUGUAGGAGUUCAAGGAACGUCAGCUGGUGUGCGGGCUCAGCCAGGAUGCUGAAGAGGAGGAAACUGAGUCUCAGAGACUAAUGGCAUCGAUGGAGGGCUGCGCCUCUUCAUGAUAUGAUAACAGCAGCGUCACCCACAGCAGACUUUCCCACCCUCGGUGCUGAUGACAUUUAAGCUGGGCCAUUCUUUGUUGAGAAGAGGGUGCUGUCCCGUUGUGCAGUAUGGGGAGCUGAAUCGCAGCUCCCCAGAGAUGUGCACAUUGUAAUCCCGGAAGCUCCGAGUGUGUGUCCCCUCACACGGCCAGAGGGACUCUGCAGCGGGGGAGAGGGUGCUGGGUGAUCCGGGGCCUGCGGCAGUCACUGGGGGGAGGAGGGUCGGAGAGAGCAAGGACUGGCAUCUGCUCCGCUGCCGGCUCUGGGGAAAGGAAGGAGCCUG
This is a long non-coding RNA of Choloepus didactylus (southern two-toed sloth), 774 nucleotides long. RefSeq lists it as uncharacterized. NCBI's taxonomy places the organism in Eukaryota, Metazoa, Chordata, Mammalia, Pilosa, Megalonychidae. The record is from RefSeq and is a predicted model, not a curated record. The transcript has 3 exons.